Molecule: long non-coding RNA, 728 nt
Organism: Raphanus sativus (radish)
Lineage: Eukaryota; Viridiplantae; Streptophyta; Magnoliopsida; Brassicales; Brassicaceae
Exons: 2
Source: RefSeq, a predicted model, not a curated record
GCCAAUCCACACUCAUCACUCGGAUCACUCUCUGAGCCGUAUGAUACAUUUAGAUCAAUGGAUGAGAAUUUUUCUUUUUCUUUUUCCCUUUUCUUUUUUUUUCUCUUUCUCUCUUAUCUUCACGAAUCUCUAAUCCUCUCCGUCGUCUUCGAAAAAUCUCUCUUCCUUUUCAGAUUUCAUCUCCGAAAAAUCUUUUACCAAACUCCAUCUUUGUUCUUAAUCAUCUCACACACACCUCUCCCUGUCUUACUCUCCUAACCUCACUCACAGACAAGAUUCAUCUCACACAGACAUCUCUCUCACACACAAACACAUCCACAAACGAAAGAGAGAGAUGGAAUUCGGAGAAGACGCGACGGCCGGUCACAUCGAUUCAAUGAUUUGGAGUAUUGUCUCUUGUGGGGAUGUUGGUUCAUGAACGGAUUCAAUGAUAGAAGAAUGUGGCUUUAGGUUUCUGCUAGCUUUCGAGCCGUUGAUUUUUGUUCGAGCUAUGCCACUGGAGUAGGCGAACAGAGGCAGAUGCUGGAACAGAGGCGUGGGCUCUGGAGGCUUGAAUAGAGGCGUAGGAGUUGGGGAUAUUUUUGGGGGUUUUUAGAUUUAGGUUUAAACCCGGUUUGAUUGUAAACCGGAUAAUUUAUAAACCGAAUAAAUUUGUAAUCUGGUUUAAUUUAUAAACCGUAAACAGCUGUAAACCAACUUUUUAAUAUAAACCGAAGUCAUUUAUAUAA